This 1178-nucleotide ribosomal RNA is filed under the name Leifsonia sp. Its description in RNAcentral is "bacterial SSU rRNA". It matches the Rfam family "Bacterial small subunit ribosomal RNA", at positions 159 to 1350 of the family's 1533-position model. The record is from RNAcentral. Lineage: Bacteria; Bacillati; Actinomycetota; Actinomycetes; Micrococcales; Microbacteriaceae.
GAAGCUAAUACCGGAUACGAACUGCGAAGGCAUCUUCAGCAGUUGGAAAGAACUUCGGUCAAGGAUGGACUCGCGGCCUAUCAGGUAGUUGGUGAGGUAACGGCCCACCAAGCCUACGACGGGUAGCCGGCCUGAGAGGGUGACCGGCCACACUGGGACUGAGACACGGCCCAGACUCCUACGGGAGGCAGCAGUGGGGAAUAUUGCACAAUGGGCGCAAGCCUGAUGCAGCAACGCCGCGUGAGGGAUGACGGCCUUCGGGUUGUAAACCUCUUUUAGUAGGGAAGAAGCGAAAGUGACGGUACCUGCAGAAAAAGCACCGGCUAACUACGUGCCAGCAGCCGCGGUAAUACGUAGGGUGCGAGCGUUGUCCGGAAUUAUUGGGCGUAAAGAGCUCGUAGGCGGUCUGUCGCGUCUGCUGUGAAAACCCGAGGCUCAACCUCGGGCCUGCAGUGGGUACGGGCAGACUAGAGUGCGGUAGGGGAGAAUGGAAUUCCUGGUGUAGCGGUGGAAUGCGCAGAUAUCAGGAGGAACACCGAUGGCGAAGGCAGUUCUCUGGGCCGUAACUGACGCUGAGGAGCGAAAGCGUGGGGAGCGAACAGGAUUAGAUACCCUGGUAGUCCACGCCGUAAACGUUGGGCGCUAGAUGUGGGGACCAUUCCACGGUUUCCGUGUCGCAGCUAACGCAUUAAGCGCCCCGCCUGGGGAGUACGGCCGCAAGGCUAAAACUCAAAGGAAUUGACGGGGGCCCGCACAAGCGGCGGAGCAUGCGGAUUAAUUCGAUGCAACGCGAAGAACCUUACCAAGGCUUGACAUAUACGAGAACGGGCUAGAAAUAGUCAACUCUUUGGACACUCGUAAACAGGUGGUGCAUGGUUGUCGUCAGCUCGUGUCGUGAGAUGUUGGGUUAAGUCCCGCAACGAGCGCAACCCUCGUUCUAUGUUGCCAGCACGUAAUGGUGGGAACUCAUAGGAGACUGCCGGGGUCAACUCGGAGGAAGGUGGGGAUGACGUCAAAUCAUCAUGCCCCUUAUGUCUUGGGCUUCACGCAUGCUACAAUGGCCGGUACAAAGGGCUGCAAUACCGCAAGGUGGAGCGAAUCCCAAAAAGCCGGUCUCAGUUCGGAUUGAGGUCUGCAACUCGACCUCAUGAAGUCGGAGUCGCUAGUAAUCGCAGAUC